This 497-nucleotide ribosomal RNA is filed under the name uncultured bacterium. Its description in RNAcentral is "partial 16S ribosomal RNA". It matches the Rfam family "Bacterial small subunit ribosomal RNA", at positions 28 to 507 of the family's 1533-position model. The record is from RNAcentral.
GAUGAACGCUGGCGGCGUGCCUAAUACAUGCAAGUCGAGCGAACGGACGAGACGCUUGCUUUUCUGAUGUUAGCGGCGGACGGGUGAGUAACACGUGGAUAACCUACCUAUCAGACUGGGAUCACUUCGGGACACCGGCGCUAAUACCGGAUAAUCUUUUGCUCCGCAUGGUUCAAAAGUGAAAGACGGUCUUGCUGUCACUUCUCGAUGGAUCCGCGCUGCAUUAGCUAGUUGGUAAGGUACCGGCUUACCACGGCAACGAUGCAUAGCCGACCUGAGAGAGUGAUCGGCCACAUGGGAACGGAGACACGGUCCAGACGCCUACGGGAGGCAGCAGUAGGGAAUCUGCCGCAGUGGGCGAAAGCCUGACGGAGCAACGCCGCGUGAGUGAUGAAGGUCUUCGGAUCGUAAAAAUCUGUUAUUAGGGAAGAACAGAUGUGUAAGGAACUGUGCACAGCGUGACGGUACCUAAUCAGAAAGCCACGGCUAACUACGUG